This is a long non-coding RNA of Rattus rattus (black rat), 1097 nucleotides long. RefSeq lists it as uncharacterized. The transcript has 3 exons. The record is from RefSeq and is a predicted model, not a curated record. Lineage: Eukaryota; Metazoa; Chordata; Mammalia; Rodentia; Muridae.
GCACCAUGGCACACACGUGCACACAAUAGUCAUAAAAAUUAUUUUUGAAAGAAUAGCACUUACCAUAGAGAUGUCUUGUAUUCCUGUGUUGAUUCAGUCUAGGCUCCCAUCUACAAGUGCAUGGGAAAAGGAAAUGCGACAUAUACACACAAAGGCCUUUACUAAGUCAUAAAGAAGAAAAUUAUUUCAUUUACCGGAAACAAAAGAUAGAAUGGCAUAUGAUGGUGCAAAGUAAGAUAAGUCACUUCACAAAGGCAAAUACAGCAUUUAUUUUUUCAGGUAGAAGCCAGAGGGAACAAAAUGGUAAACUAAGAGGGAGAGGGGAGUGUGUGAGAUGUGGGUGGGAACAAGGGAAGAUGGACAGGGAGUCAUGAGGGAGCCUGACGGGAGUGCAGCAUAAGAAUGCAGGAAAUGGCGUCUUUAACCUCUUUACAGAGGACACCUGGAAAUCCAAAGAACCAAGCAGCGGCAUGCGCCUAUAAUGCCAACACUCGAGAGGCAGAAGCAAAGAAUCACUAGGUUUGCAGUCAGCCUGGUCUACGGAGUGAUUUAUAGUCCAGCCAGGGCUAUACAGUGACAUGUGUCAAGUAAAGUAAAAACCGAAGCCGAAAAAAUAAUGAAAUAUCUUCCACGAAGCAGUGAUAAUUGACUUGUCGGGACACUGUUGGGAUCACAGAAUGCGUAGACCCUUUCCGGCAAGCUUGCUUGUUUCUGAGAUCUUUUCUUCAUUUGAUUGUUUUCUUCCCAUAAAUCUUUUUCAACAUAUUGAAAAUGUUGAUUUAUAAGUCAACCAGUCUAUUAAGAGAAAUAAAAUUUUCUUUUUCAAGGUAUUAUUUUGAAUAAAAAUGUCGAGGUUUUUUUCCUGGUUAUUUUUUCCCAUCUGAUUUCUUACAACAAGCUCUAUGGCCGCUCUGUGUCUUUACUAAAAUGAAUAUAUUCUGUACAUACAGACUGCAGCACAGUCUAAAACUGUAUUUACUAACUAAUAAUUUCGAAAUGUCUAAACAUAUGUGUUUUCCCUCCCUUGGCUUUUCUAAGACGAGGAAACAGUUGAAUGUGAGGAAAUUAAAGAAGACGCCGGGCAUGAUGGUAACAAC